RNAcentral lists this ribosomal RNA (465 nucleotides) under uncultured bacterium. RNAcentral's name for it is "partial 16S ribosomal RNA". It matches the Rfam family "Bacterial small subunit ribosomal RNA", at positions 28 to 507 of the family's 1533-position model. The record is from RNAcentral.
GACGAACGCUGGCGGCGUGCUUAACACAUGCAAGUCGAACGGAAAGGCCCCUUUGGGGGUACUCGAGUGGCGAACGGGUGAGUAACACGUGAGUAACCUGCCCUUGACUUCGGGAUAACUUCAGGAAACUGGGGCUAAUACCGGAUAGGAAUCCUUGCUGCAUGGUGGGGGUUGGAAAGCUUCGGCGGUUUUGGAUGGACUCGCGGCUUAUCAGCUUGUUGGUGGGGUAGUGGCUUACCAAGGCUUUGACGGGUAGCCGGCCUGAGAGGGCGACCGGCCACAUUGGGUCUGAGAUACGGCCCAGACUCCUACGGGAGGCAGCAGUGGGGAAUAUUGCACAAUGGGCGGAAGCCUGAUGCAGCAACGCCGCGUGCGGGAUGACGGCCUUCGGGUUGUAAGCCGCUUUCAGCAGGGGCGAAGCUUGUGGUGACGGUACCUGCAGAAGAAGCACCGGCUAACUACGUG